This 301-nucleotide ribosomal RNA is filed under the name uncultured bacterium. RNAcentral describes it as "partial 16S ribosomal RNA". It matches the Rfam family "Bacterial small subunit ribosomal RNA", at positions 509 to 807 of the family's 1533-position model. The record is from RNAcentral.
CAGUCGCCACGGGAAUACGUAGGUGGCAAGCGUUGCCCGGAAUUAUUGGGCGUAAAGGGCUCGCAGGCGGUUUCUUAAGUCUGAUGUGAAAGCCCCCGGCUCAACCGGGGAGGGUCAUUGGAAACUGGGAAACUUGAGUGCAGAAGAGGAGAGUGGAAUUCCACGUGUAGCGGUGAAAUGCGUAGAGAUGUGGAGGAACACCAGUGGCGAAGGCGACUCUCCGGUCUGUAACUGACGCUGAGGAGCGAAAGCGUGGGGAGCGAACAGGAUUAGAUACCCCGGUAGUCCCUGUCUCUUAUAC